CAGACAGGGCUGCAAGGAAAUCUGGAGCUGUUCAAUAUCUCGCCUAGUCUGCAUUUUGAGCUACUGGUAUUUGCUGACAGAACUAAUGGCCGAAUUCCUAUCUGUGAGGCCAGGGAGCAUGACGACUGGCAAACAGAGGGAAAGAGAGAGAGAGCUGCAACUUCUUUACACUUAAGGGAAGUUAUCCUUCCUUUUACACCAGCUACAACUGGUUUUGUUUGUGUGUGUGACAGCAACGUGGCUGAUGUAAUGCACCUUAACCGGACUUAAUCUCCUCUUUGUUAGGAAAUCGCUCCUAUCCAACAAAGAUGAGAAGUAGGAGUAAGGCGCUAAUUAAGAGUUCUCUGACUGAUGUCUGCCACACUACCAGAAGGAGAAAGAAAAUCCUGUUAAUGUUACAAAAUGAAAAACAAAACACCUUGAGGGUACCGAAGAGAACUUGAAAUAUAGAAGGCAGUUGUUUGGUUUUAUUUGUAAAAUGAAUCUGUGUUUUACGUCUUUAAAGAAAUGUAGUUCAUUAAAGACUGGAGUAAACACUUUGAAAACACGGUCCUAAGAAUUAGGACUCCUAACCUUUAGCCGGUAAUGUACAUGCUGUAAAGAUGCUUGCACAGUUGUUUUGUUGGAUAUCUCUGCUUCAUUUCAUGAUUAUGAACAGAACAAAUGAAAGUGUACUCCUUCUGUUGUAUAAUUUUAAAUAAAUAAAUCAACCAAUAAACUCAGAAUGAACCCAUGUGUAUUUUCUUUAUGUGUGUUUAUUAACAUUAGAGCUGGUUGGCAGAGUUGAAUCCCGAGCUGCUGCUGGAAUGUUAUAUCUAAAUACUCAAUACAUUCAGUAACUCAUGAACAACCUCGUCAUUGCAAUUCUUUUUGUUAGAGUUAAUGAUGUUUUGUGGGGUCUGGGGUGGGGGAAAUCUUUCCUCCCGAACUGAAAUGAAAAACUUACAAAGACAGACAGAUAUUCAGGGACAUGAGAAUUAAGAAAAAAAGUUAUACAAAAAUCAGUGCACCAAAUCGCUGUAUAAAUGUGUCAAUCUAUUGUUUGAGAGAAGAAGUUAUCAUUCAUUAGUCAUGGUACUCUGUACAUGCGGCUUGUGACAUACAUUAGUCACACACAAAGACUUGUUGUUUAUAAUGCUUACGUGCCAAUCUAUCAUUAAAACGCAGCAAUGCAGUGAAGUUACUGAAAAUGACAAGUGCCUUGCCUGUCCAGUACAUCGUGACCCACUUGCAAAGAGUGUGAUGAGGACGUGUA
Molecule: long non-coding RNA, 1255 nt
Organism: Acipenser ruthenus (sterlet)
Lineage: Eukaryota; Metazoa; Chordata; Actinopteri; Acipenseriformes; Acipenseridae
Exons: 3
Source: RefSeq, a predicted model, not a curated record